Molecule: non-coding RNA, 579 nt
Filed under: Pan troglodytes (chimpanzee)
Lineage: Eukaryota; Metazoa; Chordata; Mammalia; Primates; Hominidae
Source: RNAcentral
GCGGGCGUCGUCAUCUCGGCCCUGCAGCCGCGCCAGGAGUCCGCGCUGCACAAAGCUCUGGCGGGCGGCGCGGCCCCGGCCGCCGCUCAGCUCCACCGCGCGUUCCAGAUCCUCCAGGGCGCCUGCGGGACCGACGAGACGGGCGGGGCGGGGGUCAGCGGAGGCCAGGGCGGCCUUGCCCGAGCCCCAGCCCACCUGCGGCCGCGCGGAUCACCGUGGUCCUUGCGGCUCCCGGGCGUGGCCAUUUACAACCCGCUUCGCACCUGCUAGAGAAAAGACCCCGGCCAUGGAUGGGAGACCUAGGACAAAGACGGAAAAGAGUGCUUGGCACCAGACAGCUGCUCAAUGAGGAACACAACUGCAUCAUGGAGAAUCCCCAGCAUCCUCAAACCGUUAACACCUAGAAGAAUCAGAAGCACCAGGGCAGUGAGGAGCGCAGUCAACAGGAAACAGCAUGGUCCUACAGAAAUGCCUAUGCUACAGUCACUCUGCCAGAGGCUGCUCCAGGGUGAAUUAUAGUACAUAUUAGCUCGAAAUUAGCAUCAGAUAGCCAUUAAAAUGAUGCUGAUACAGAUCUAU